CCUUUCUUUCUCACUUCUUCUUUUUCUUUCGAGUGGUCUUAGUACCAUGUUACGAGUGGCAACCAUCUGAUUGACAUAUUGAUGGUGUAAUUCUAGAACGAUUUUCUACAGUGCAGUAGAACUCUGAUACAAUGUAUAUGGGUUGUUUUAUCAUGGGGACUUUGUGGUUGAUAGUUUGUCUUACAUAAUUUGGCCAGUGUCGCGAAAUAUCUUAAAGAGAACGACCUAAUCUGCA
RNAcentral lists this long non-coding RNA (235 nucleotides) under Cicer arietinum (chickpea). RNAcentral describes it as "long non-coding RNA (CARI_LNC003200)". The record is from RNAcentral. Lineage: Eukaryota; Viridiplantae; Streptophyta; Magnoliopsida; Fabales; Fabaceae.